Astyanax mexicanus (Mexican tetra) is the source of this 1981-nucleotide long non-coding RNA. RefSeq lists it as uncharacterized. The transcript is spliced from 3 exons. The record is from RefSeq and is a predicted model, not a curated record. NCBI's taxonomy places the organism in Eukaryota, Metazoa, Chordata, Actinopteri, Characiformes, Acestrorhamphidae.
UGUAAAUGUCCGUGAUGGAGGGGAGAGAGACGCCGAUGAUCCUCUCAGCUGUCCUCACAAUACGCUGGAGGGUCUUGCGGUCAGAGACGGUGCAGGUCCCAAACCAGGCAGUGAUGCAGCUGCUCAGGAUGCUCUCAAUGGUCCCUCUAUAGAAGAGUGUGAGGAUGGGUGGAGGGAGACGGGCCUUUCUCAGCUUCCGGAGGAAGUAGAGACGCUGCUGGGCUUUCUUGGCUGUAGAGCUGGUGUUCAGGGUCCAGGUGAGGUUAUCUGCUAAGUGGACACCAAGGAACUUGGUGCUCUUUAAUAUUUUCAGUUGCCGAAUUCUGAUUGGAUCAGUAGUAUUUUCAGAAUCUGUUGCUACUAAUAGACCCUUCAUUUUGUAUGCAAUUCUGUGAAGCAUUUGCUAUUUUAAUGCUAUUUUUAUACACUAUAUUUUAAAUGUAUUUUGUGCUGCUCCGCAUUGCUGUGUUUGAUGAUGUAAGGUUUGGAUAGAUUUAAGCAGCUCAAGCUUGUAAACUCUUGUAAGUUGGAGGUGUGUAGUGAUGAACUCUGAAGCUACAUGAAGUUUGGAGGUGUGUAGUGAUGAACUCUGAAGCUACAUGAAGUUUGGAGGUGUGUAGUGAUGAUGAACUCUGAAGCUACAUGAAGUUUGGAGGUGUGUAGUGAUGAACUCUGAAGCUACAUGAAGGUUGGAGGUGUGUAGUGAUUGAUGAACUCUGAAGCUACAUGAAGUUUGGAGGUGUGUAGUGAUGAUGAACUCUGAAGCUACAUGAAGUUUGGAGGUGUGUAGUGAUGAUGAACUCUGAAGCUACAUGAAGUUUGGAGGUGUGUAGUGAUGAUGAACUCUGAAGCUACAUGAAGGUUGGAGGUGUGUAGUGAUGAACUCUGAAGCUACAUGAAGUUUGGAGGUGUGUAGUGAUGAUGAACUCUGAAGCUACAUAAUGGUUGGAGGUGUGUAGUGAUGAACUCUGAAGCUACAUGAAGUUUGGAGGUGUGUAGUGAUGAACUCUGAAGCUACAUAAUGGUUGGAGGUGUGUAGUGAUGAUGAACUCUGAAGCUACAUGAAGGUUGGAGGUGUGUAGUGAUGAACUCUGAAGCUACAUGAAGUUUGGAGGUGUGUAGUGAUGAUGAACUCUGAAGCUACAUGAAGUUUGGAGGUGUGUAGUGAUGAUGAACUCUGAAGCUACAUGAAGGUUGGAGGUGUGUAGUGAUUAGUGUAGUGACUCUGCAGAAAGUUGGUGAACUCUGUACACUAUGCUCCUCAGCAUCCGCUGUAGUUCCCAUUCUCUUCCACUGUGUUAUAAUAUCACUGACAGUUGGCUGUGGAAUAUUUAGUAGUGAGUAGUGAGGAAAUUUCACGACUGGACUUGUUGCACAGGUGAAGUUCAUUGAGCUCCCGAGACCCAUUCUUUCACUAAUGUUUGUAGAAGCAGUCCCAGCAUGCCUAGCUGCUGCUUUUAUUAUAUACCUGUGGCCACACAAGUGAUUAAGGAACAUCUUAAUUGAAUGAUUUGGAUAGGUGAUGAUAUAGUGUAUCAUCAAAAUGUCUUUAAUCAUUAUGGUAUACAUUUUUAUGUUAUUUUUAUACCGGAUCCUUAGUGGAAUGGAUUCAGUGUGUAAAUCUAUUAUUAACACAUCAUUAGUCCUGCGUUCACUCAGAGCCAUCAUGAUGUUCGGUGACCUUCACGAUGUCCACAGACACUUAUUAUACAUCCUACACAGAGACUACACAUCAUAAUCUGUGUAAUGUGUAGUGAUUUAGUCGUGUAAAUGCUGUUUAAACUCUGUACUGGCUUUAGUACAGUUUGUAAUGAUGUUAUUUUAUAUACAAUCAAGAGGAAGAUGGAUGAUCACAAGCCAUCAAACCACCAAACUGAACUGCUUGAACUUUUGCACCAGGAGUAAAGCAGCAUAAAGUUAUCCAAAAGCAGUGUGCAAGACUGGUGGAGGAGAACAUGAUGCCAAGAUGCAUGAAAACUGU